GACGAACGCUGGCGGCGUGCCUAAUACAUGCAAGUAGAACGCUGAAGAGAGGAGCUUCCUCUUCUUGGAUGAGUUGCGAACGGGUGAGUAACGCGUAGGUAACCUGCCUUGUAGCGGGGGAUAACUAUUGGAAACGAUAGCUAAUACCGCAUAACAAUGGAUGACACAUGUCAUUUAUUUGAAAGGGGCAAUUGCUCCACUACAAGAUGGACCUGCGUUGUAUUAGCUAGUAGGUGAGGUAAUGGCUCACCUAGGCGACGAUACAUAGCCGACCUGAGAGGGUGAUCGGCCACACUGGGACUGAGACACGGCCCAGACUCCUACGGGAGGCAGCAGUAGGGAAUCUUCGGCAAUGGGGGCAACCCUGACCGAGCAACGCCGCGUGAGUGAAGAAGGUUUUCGGAUCGUAAAGCUCUGUUGUAAGUCAAGAACGGGUGUGAGAGUGGAAAGUUCACACUGUGACGGUAGCUUACCAGAAAGAGACGGCUAACUACGUG
This 497-nucleotide ribosomal RNA is filed under the name uncultured bacterium. RNAcentral describes it as "partial 16S ribosomal RNA". It matches the Rfam family "Bacterial small subunit ribosomal RNA", at positions 28 to 507 of the family's 1533-position model. The record is from RNAcentral.